GGGGCCGUAAAGGCUUCGACGGGGAUUCAGAAGCAUGAUAAGCGAGUAGUGCGGGCGAAAGCACUUUAAUAGUCGCAAACUUAAACUUAAACGCAGACGACGAUCUCGUUUUAGCAGCUGCCUAAGCGCGCUGCCGUCGCUUCCCGAAGUACUGCGGUCGGGAAAGCGGCGUCGAUUAGCAGUGAACGAUUCGCGCGAAUAGCCUUAUAGCGUGAAUUGUACCAAAGGCUACCGAGCGGCUGAGCCUGUUUGUCGGCGCUUCCGCGAGGGAAUUUCAAAAGACAGACUGCACUCGGAGAAGGUUGUGUAGAUGGGUUUUCGGACAGGGGUUCAAUUCCCCUCGGCUCCACCA
Molecule: transfer-messenger RNA, 352 nt
Filed under: Oscillospiraceae bacterium
Lineage: Bacteria; Bacillati; Bacillota; Clostridia; Eubacteriales; Oscillospiraceae
Also listed under: 1 other name
Rfam family: transfer-messenger RNA
About the family: Bacterial tmRNA, also known as 10Sa RNA or SsrA, is named for its dual tRNA and mRNA-like properties. Its role is to liberate the mRNA from a stalled ribosome. To accomplish this part of the tmRNA is used as a reading frame that ends in a translation stop signal.
Source: RNAcentral